RNAcentral lists this ribosomal RNA (497 nucleotides) under uncultured bacterium. RNAcentral's name for it is "partial 16S ribosomal RNA". It matches the Rfam family "Bacterial small subunit ribosomal RNA", at positions 28 to 507 of the family's 1533-position model. The record is from RNAcentral.
GAUGAACGCUGGCGGCGUGCCUAGUACAUGCAAGUCGAGCGAACGGACGAGAAGCUUGCUUCUCUGAUGUUAGCGGCGGACGGGUGAGUAACACGUGGAUAACCUACCUAUAAGACUGGGAUAACUUCGGGAAACCGGAGCUAAUACCGGAUAAUAUUUUGAACCGCAUGGUUCAAAAGUGAAGGACGGUCUUGCUGUCACUUAUAGAUGGAUCCGCGCUGCAUUAGCUAGUUGGUAAGGUAACGGCUUACCAAGGCAACGAUGCAUAGCCGACCUGAGAGGGUGAUCGGCCACACUGGAACUGAGACACGGUCCAGACUCCUACGGGAGGCAGCAGUAGGGAAUCUUCCGCAAUGGGCGAAAGCCUGACGGAGCAACGCCGCGUGAGUGAUGAAGGUCUUCGGAUCGUAAAACUCUGUUAUUAGGGAAGAACAUAUGUGUAAGUAACUGUGCACAUCUUGACGGUACCUAAUCAGAAAGCCACGGCUAACUACGUG